RNAcentral lists this ribosomal RNA (452 nucleotides) under uncultured bacterium. Its description in RNAcentral is "bacterial SSU rRNA". It matches the Rfam family "Bacterial small subunit ribosomal RNA", at positions 340 to 786 of the family's 1533-position model. The record is from RNAcentral.
UACGGAAGGCAGCAGUGGGGAAUAUUGCACAAUGGGCGCAAGCCUGAUGCAGCCAUGCCGCGUGUAUGAAAAAGGCCUUCGGGUUGUAAAGUACUUUCAGUCGUGAGGAAGGUGUUAAGGUUAAUAACCUUAGCAAUUGACGUUAGCGACAGAAGAAGCACCGGCUAACUCCGUGCCAGCAGCCGCGGUAAUACGGAGGGUGCGAGCGUUAAUCGGAAUUACUGGGCUAAAGGGCACGCAGGCGGUUAAUUAAGUUGGAUGUGAAAUCCCCGGGCUUAACCUGGGAAUGGCAUUCAAGACUGGUUAGCUAGAGUCUUGUAGAGGGGGUAGAAUUCCAUGUGUAGCGGUGAAAUGCGUAGAGAUGUGGAGGAAUACCGGUGGCGAAGGCGGCCCCUGGACAAAGACUGACGCUCGAUGUGCGAAAGCGUGGGGAGCAAACGAGGAUUGAUACC